UAAUUCCCACGAGGCAGCGAAGAAGCUGGU
This 30-nucleotide non-coding RNA is filed under the name Mus musculus (house mouse). Lineage: Eukaryota; Metazoa; Chordata; Mammalia; Rodentia; Muridae. The record is from RNAcentral.